Molecule: ribosomal RNA, 761 nt
Filed under: uncultured Prevotella sp.
Lineage: Bacteria; Pseudomonadati; Bacteroidota; Bacteroidia; Bacteroidales; Prevotellaceae
Description: bacterial SSU rRNA
Rfam family: Bacterial small subunit ribosomal RNA
Source: RNAcentral
GAUGAACGCUAGCUAUAGGCUUAACACAUGCAAGUCGAGGGGAAACGGCAUUAUGUGCUUGCACAUUUUGGACGUCGACCGGCGCACGGGUGAGUAUCGCGUAUCCAACCUGCCCUUUACUUGGGGAUACCCCGUUGAAAGACGGCCUAAUACCCGAUGUAAUUCAUUGAUGGCAUCAGAUAUGAAUAAAAGAUUUAUCGGUAAAGGAUGGGGAUGCGUCUGAUUAGCUUGUUGGUGAGGUAAUGGCUCACCAAGGCAACGAUCAGUAGGGGUUCUGAGAGGAAGGUCCCCCACAUUGGAACUGAGACACGGUCCAAACUCCUACGGGAGGCAGCAGUGAGGAAUAUUGGUCAAUGGGCGCAAGCCUGAACCAGCCAAGUAGCGUGCAGGAAGACGGCCCUAUGGGUUGUAAACUGCUUUUAUACGAGAAUAAUUUGAUGCACGUGUGCGUUAUUGCAUGUAUCGUAUGAAUAAGGACCGGCUAAUUCCGUGCCAGCAGCCGCGGUAAUACGGAAGGUCCAGGCGUUAUCCGGAUUUAUUGGGUUUAAAGGGAGUGUAGGCGGUUUGUUAAGCGUGUUGUGAAAUUUAGAUGCUCAACAUUUAACUUGCAGCGCGAACUGUCAGACUUGAGUACACGCAACGUAUGCGGAAUUCAUGGUGUAGCGGUGGAAUGCUUAGAUAUCAUGAAGAACUCCGAUUGCGAAGGCAGCAUACGGGAGUGUAACUGACGCUUAAGCUCGAAGGUGCGGGUAUCGAACAGG